GGGGAAGUGGCGAAACUGGCAGACGCAUGGGAUUUAAAAUCCCAAGCCCGCAAGGGCGUCCGGGUUCGAGCCCCGGCUUCCCCACCA
RNAcentral lists this transfer RNA (87 nucleotides) under Planctomycetota bacterium. Its description in RNAcentral is "Planctomycetes bacterium (groundwater metagenome) tRNA-Leu". It matches the Rfam family "tRNA". Rfam says of the family: Transfer RNA (tRNA) molecules are approximately 80 nucleotides in length. Their secondary structure includes four short double-helical elements and three loops (D, anti-codon, and T loops). The record is from RNAcentral. Lineage: Bacteria; Pseudomonadati; Planctomycetota.